Molecule: long non-coding RNA, 5162 nt
Organism: Chinchilla lanigera (long-tailed chinchilla)
Lineage: Eukaryota; Metazoa; Chordata; Mammalia; Rodentia; Chinchillidae
Source: Ensembl
AUGUGGCGGGCCUGGGGCGAUCCUCUGCGCCCAGCUCACAGCGCCAAGCCGCCGAAGACCAGAGCCAAGGGUCCCCAGAGGCAAUCCGCCAGGUGGCGCCAACUCUCAACCCCUGCUAGAGCUGAAGCAUUUCCAGGCUUGCUCAGAGUGGAGCGAAGAGACGGUUGGAAGAGCACAGCUCGGAUUGGCGCUUUCUCUCUGCGCCCUCCGCCGCGUGGAAGCCUUUUCUUCUGCACCCCUCUCAGGAUGACUGCAACCCUAAAGGAAAGCGGAGUGUCCUGUGUGCCACAUGGAGCUUGGGGAAAGGAAAUGAUUAAAGCCGUGAGGUUUCCUGGCUCUUCGCGGUGUUUACGAUUAUUUCAAAAUGUUCUCCACUGCAUCCCCAAGCUGGCUAUCUUGCACGACUUAAUGUGAUUCAACAGAAUUGAAACAUCAGAGCACAUGUAGCUUUCAAAAUUCAGACUGACCAUUUCAGCCAUAAACGUUCUCCAAACCAGAGGGAAGUGGGCUUGGAUCUAUGCUACUGCCAAGUCUCCUCUAUUGCUGGUAAUUUUCCUCUCUGUGGAAAAGAAGGCUUGAAGAAAAAGAAAAUGACGCUCCUUUCGCACCUAGGAGGACAGACAUUUGCCCAUGCAUCAAAAGGUAAGAGCAGGACUCUACGUGCUCACACACGCAUAUACACACAUAUAUGUACUUGUACACAUGCACACACAAGUUGUGGUGUAUCAUGUAUCUAUUCUAUCUAAUAUAUAUGUAACUUUUGCAUUUUCACCUUUUUUUGUUUGUUUUUUUCCGGUACCAGAAAUCGAACUCGCGACCUUGCCCUUGCCAGGAAAGCGCUGAGCUAAAUCCCCAGCCCUAUUUUCAUCAUUUCUGACUGUGCAGUUUAGAGGCGUUAAAUGCUUUCACAUCAUUAUAUGAACUUCGUAAUUAUCUAUUUCCAGAACUUUUUUUUAGCAAAUUGAAACUAUAUACCCAUUAAACAAUAUCCUUCCCUGCUCAUACAAUUUUCCGUCCUUAGGAAUUUGACUGUUCUAGGUCUUCAUAUAAAUUAUACACUAUUUCUCCUUUUUUUUAGUUUAGAAGUAAAAGAACAAAAACAUUAACAAACAGACAACCAUUUACAAAGUAGCACAAGAACAGCACAAGCAAUACUGAAUUACAGACAAGUUGACAGGGAAUUAACAAUGGUUGCUGUAUUACAUACUAACUUCAAAGCAGUUACUCUGGAAAACAAAUAUAGACAUGCAAGCUUGAUCAAAAUAAUUAAUCAUUAACUGCUCCUUUCAAUAAUGUGAUAGAAGUCAAUAGUACAACUAUGUUAGCUAUCCUGUAUAUACAUAUAUACAUAAUUUUCCCCUUCUUUCUUUUCUUUUUUCCCUCAUCCCAGUUGCUUUUUACUUUUGAGCGGUUUGCUUUCAUUUCACAAAGUCUAUCAUACCUCCUAAUUUUUAUUCACUCUUUCAGGUUCUUACACUAGUGAGAAAAUACAUUGCUUAUACAUGCAGGUCUGAUUUAUUUCACUUAUGAGUACGGCCUCUAGUUGUGACCAUUUACCUAUAAAAGCCUCGAGUUUAUCUUUCUUUAUAGCUGAGUAAUAUUCCAUUAUAGAAAAAUGCCAAAAAAAAAAUGCCACAAUUUUUUUAUCCAAUCCUCAGUGAAUGGACAUUUAGGUUGCUUCCACAAUUUAGCAAUUACAAGCUGUGCUGCUAUGAAUAUGGGUGCACAUAUAUCGCUGUGAUAUGAUGUUUUCAGCUCUUCUGGGAAAAUACCCAGAAGGGGAAUAGCUGGGUCGAAUGGGACCUCUAGACCUAGUUUUCUGAGGAAUCUCCACACUGAUUUCCACAGUGGUUUCACCAAUCUGCAUUCCCUCCAGCAGUGGACAAAAGUUCCUAUUUCUCCACAGCCUCACCAGCAUUUGUUAUUGGUUGAUUUCUUAAUGAUAGCCAUUCUUACUGGGGUAAGACAGAAUCUCAAUGUUGUUUUAAUUUGCAUUCUUGAAUGACUAAUGAUGUUGAACAUUUUCUCAUGUAUUUAUUUUCCAUUUGUAUUUCUUUAUCUGAGAAGUGUGUGUUCAUGUCAGAUGCCCAUUUUAGGAUUGGGUCUUUGAAUUUGGGGAUGUUGAUUAUUUGUCCUUUUGUUAAGGCUUAUUUAACUUACUGUAACAGCUUCAAGACUUGCUCAUGUUGAAGCAUUGUCAUAGUUUCCUUUUUGUACAAAGCUAAAUAUUUCAUUUUAUGUACAAGUUAUGUAGCAUGUUUUGUUUUUACCCAUUCACCUGUCCAUGGACAUUUGGAUGGUUUCUCUUCUGGCUAUUGUGAAUCAGUAUAAAAACAUCUCUUUCAGACCCUGCUUUCAGUUCUUUUGUUCACCUAAGAAAAGAAUUGCUAGUUGAUAUAGUGAGUCUAUGUUUAAGUUUUGAAACUCUGGCAAAAUGUUUUCCACAGCUGCUGUAUCAUUUUACAUUCCUACCAGCAAUUCAUUACAUUUCUAAUUCUACACAUCCUCACCAACACUUAUUUUUUAAAAAAUAAAAGAUCAUCCACAAGACAAAAAUAUUAAGUGAAAUCAGAUACAACAACUUAAAUAUCACAUAACUUCUCUUAUAUGGGAAGCCCAAAGUAUAAAUAAUUUUUAAAAACAUAAAAGAUAAUGGGAAACAGCUAGAUAGAUCUUUUGCAAAUGUGAAGAGGAUCUGGAGAUAGACAGAAGGGAGCAGGAGGAGAGGAAAGGUGUAUAAAAAGAAUUAAGAUAAUCUGCUCAAAAGGAAAGAACAACUGGGAUGGGGAAAGGAGAAAAGAAAGAAAGAAGAAAAGAGUAAAAUAUUUAUACACAAGAUAGCUAAGAUAAUUGUACCACUAAUUUCUUUCUUUUUUUUGUUUUUUGUUUUUUUUUUCCAGUACCGGGAAUCGAACUCACAAUCUCGCGCUUGCCUGGCAGGCGCUCUGCCACUGAGCUAAAUCCCCAGCCCCUGUACUACUAAUUUCUAUUAGUUUACUGAGAGGAAUAGUGAAUGCUUAAUUGUUUGAUCAAUUUUGCUUGCCUAUAUCUGGUGAUCUGAACAACUAUUUGAAGAUAACAAUAUGCAAUAUAACAACCAAUGAUAAUUGCCUAUCAUCCUGUUUUGAAAUUCUGUAUCAUUUGUAUUUUUUAAUUUUUAUUUUCUUUAAAAUAAAAAAAAAUUAAAAAGAAUUAAGGUAAGGUACGUACAUGUACCUGCUCCUUAAGAUGAAAGUCAAGAAUAUGUACCACAAGCAUGUAAUGGGAGAAAAAAGAACACCCUGUGUUGCAUGCUUACCUGUAUAUUUUUACCAUUUUUUGAAAACAAUACUUUGGAGGAAGAAAGAUAGGGCUCUGUUUGUGUUUUCUUAUGACCACAAGUUUUGGUUAAUCUGGUGGUUAUUUUGUUCACUGAGAAGGUAUAACAAAUAGUGCUUCCAACUUAAUCCAUCAACAAAUCUUCCAGAAACCCCCACCUUCUCGUCCUAUUUGAUCCAUAGCCACAAUCUAUGACUCUGUUCAUUAAAACUCAUUUUACUUCUUGCGAUGAGCAAGUGAUGGGAAAAAGUGAACUGGACAUCUUCAGAUGUUGUUGAUAAAAUACGUACAGUGUUGAAAUCAAAGUGAUUUUCAUUUCACUGUACAUGUAAAUUCAAUAUGCCCAUUUUCUUCUUUACUCUGUGUUUAGAUGGUCUGAUUUUCUAACAAAUCACUUGAAAGCCCCAAUUCUUUUUUUUUUUUAUGAUCAAUCUCCUGUUCUUUGAUGCUUUUAUUUAUUUUAUUUUUUUUUUUUUUUCUUCAGGUACCGGGAAUCGAACUUAGGGCCUUGCACUUGCCAGGCAAGUGCUGUGCCGCUAAGCUAAAUCCCCAGCCCUUGAAAGCCCCAAUUCUUAACACUCCCACUCCUACUCUGAAAAACAUUCCAAAAAGGGUCAGUCCACACGACCGCAGACUAUUUGUUGUCUGACUUUCUUCCUUUUAUUUUUUUUUCAGUAUGGGAGGUUGAACCCAGAGCCUUUGAACUGAACUACAUCCCCAGAUCUUUUGACUGUUUCUUUUUUAUUUUUUGUGGGUUUUUUUUUUUUUUUUUUUGAGACGGGGUCCUCCUGAGUUACCCAAGCUGGUCUUGAACUUGCAAUACUCCUGCCUCAGUCUUCCAGAGGCCAGGAAAGGCCCUCAACCCCAUCCUAUACUCCAAGAUCAAUGCAUAUGCUUCUUCAGGGCAGAGUGUACCACCUGUCAAGACAAAGGGAAAACUCAGCUUUGCUGAGAAGUCAGACAGUCUAACAACAAGUGUUUAUUCUGUAUCCCCUUUUAUUUUUUUAUAUCACUUCUUACUGGUAACAAUUAUUAUAUUUUCUCAGCUAUUUAUUAAUGUAUUGCCUAUGGCAGACACUAGAGCAUAAACUCCUGAAGAGUGGACACACUGUGUGUGAAGAGCAUAGCUGCUGUAUCCCAGUAACUGAAACAGUGUAAGGCGAAUGAAAGAUCAUGAAUAGAAUACGUACAGACUCCAGGAAAGCAUGUUAAUAAAUCAAUAGCAGUACCUUCAAUGAGGAGAUAACAUGCCACAGAAAUGGACCGGGUCUUUGGCUAAAGCAUCACUGUCUGAUACAGUAGCCACCAGCCUUGGAUGGUUAUCAAGUACUGGAACUGUGGCUCAUUUGAGUGCACAUACUAUAUGUGUAAAAUAUACCCCAGGUUGUGAAGACCUCAUAUAAGUGGGCAAUCCUUCAGGCUCUUGUGAAGCACUCUAAUGAUUGGUCCAAGUGAGACGAUCUAAUGAUUGCUCCUUCACUAAGUAUGGUGGCUCUCAACCCGUGGCCCACACACCCUACGUGACCAGUGGUCAAGGGACUCCCACUUAAAAGAAAUUACCAACUCUGGCUUCUUUUCAUGCUGGAACCUUUGUGUGUAUGUCAAAUAUGCAAAACAUCAACCAUCUCAUUAGGUAGGUAUUAUUUAUUCAUCUCUGGAAGGCUUGCUACAAGUAUAUGUUCUGUGACAAGUGUAACAUGUUUAUGAGCAUGUGCAUAAUAAAUUAUUGGAAAUAAUUGUGUUUUCAAUACUCCAUAUAUAUAUGUGUGUGUGUAUAUAUCUAUAUAUGUGUGUAUAUAUAUAUGUGUGUAUAUAUAUAUAUAUAUAUAAUUUGACUCCUGUCA